CUCACAUGCAUGAAAAAGAAGGGAGAACUGUUAGUAAAGCAACAAAGGAGUUCCAUGCCCUUGGGAUUGUGUCCCUGUUCCCAUCUUUGAAAGACCCAUACUCUAAAAAAGGAUAUGAACAUUUCUAUGACAUUCAGAGCAACAAAGGCUUUCUUGAGUGGCGUAUAAAGACCGUGCAACGUAAAUCCAGAACCACCUCUGCAUCACAGA
This is a long non-coding RNA of Carassius auratus (goldfish), 210 nucleotides long. RefSeq lists it as uncharacterized. The record is from RefSeq and is a predicted model, not a curated record. NCBI's taxonomy places the organism in Eukaryota, Metazoa, Chordata, Actinopteri, Cypriniformes, Cyprinidae. The transcript is spliced from 3 exons.